CGGGCGCAUCGGCCGUCAGUGGACCAGACGUUUUGCUGCCUCGCGCACAAUCUUCAAAAAAGAGCUGAAUUCCUGACGAAGUCCCUUUGUAGUACCCUCUGAUGAGAAGGGGUUUUUUAGAUGGGAGCCGUCACUUGGAGUUCACCUGCUCAGGCUGAACCAGGCCCAGAACCAGAUUCCAGCACCAACCAAAAAGUGUGCAAUGAUUCGGGUAUCGAAGAGUUAAACAAAGAAGAUGCAAAUGAAUUCAAAACAAAUCAAAAAGACACGAAGAAGCAACAUCCUAUUUCCAGCCAUCUACAUGAACGUGAAAAUUCGGAAGAGGCAGAUUUGGAAAAAGAAUACGACAUCGUCAAAUUCUCGCCGGAGCCGGAAAUACGACAAAAUCUUGAACCUAUUAUGAACCGCCCAACUGGAGGCAGGAUACCAGAAAAGAUCGACAAAACUGAGGAAACCCGCGAGGUUGAAGAUGUUUCAAAUGGUGACGCAUCCAAUUCUCAAAAGACACGCAUUUUAAGCCUUUACGACUCAUUUAUUUCUAACCCUAGCGAUGGAACAAAUGCAAUAUUUACAACAGCAUUGACAUCUACGGUGGAAAAAACCAAAUCAGAAACAAUGAAAAAAGGUGAAAUACGCGAUAAUAAAGAACAUGAAACAUUUGUUGAGGGCUUCCCCAGUGACGGAGAAUCUAGUCGGCUUAGAGCCAGAGCAACAGAACCGAACGAAAUACAACCUAAGACGAAGGAAAAUAACUGCGAUGUAACGUUAAAUAGUGUAAAUGACUUAGAUCAAGCCACUCCAGAAGAAUCAGAUUCUACGCACAAAUUCAAAUUUGAUCAGUUGAUGUCGAAGAUACUAACGGAAGUCGAGACAGAAGAAAAAAUUGACAAACAGCUAAAAGUCAGAGCAGUGGAACCAAGCGAAACCCAAUCUGAAACGGAAGACAAUAACUGUGAUGCAACUUUAAAAGUGUGAAUGACUCAGAUCAAGCCACUCCAGAAGAAUCAAAUUCUACGCAGAAAUUCAAGUUUGAUGAGUUGGUGUCGAAAAUACUAACGGAAGACGAUGUAGAACUAGAGGAAGGCGGAGAAUUGAACAAUAUCACCGAAGAAGAGCCGGUGCGAGUAGAGGGAGAGGAGGUACAGAGCGAGGAGCAUAACGGAGACGAAGAGGAGGACGAGGAGACGAAAGAGAGGC
Molecule: long non-coding RNA, 1197 nt
Filed under: Bemisia tabaci
Lineage: Eukaryota; Metazoa; Arthropoda; Insecta; Hemiptera; Aleyrodidae
Description: lncRNA ENSSSA1NGG008678
Source: RNAcentral